RNAcentral lists this small RNA (76 nucleotides) under Candidatus Muproteobacteria bacterium RBG_16_62_13. RNAcentral describes it as "sX9 sRNA". It matches the Rfam family "Xanthomonas sRNA sX9". Lineage: Bacteria; Pseudomonadati; Pseudomonadota; Candidatus Muproteobacteria. The record is from RNAcentral.
AUGUACUGGCGUGUACACUCCGGUUCCUGCGCUCCGGCCGCCCCCGGCUGACGCCCGCUCGCGACGUUUUUGGGAC